This 300-nucleotide ribosomal RNA is filed under the name uncultured Bacillus sp. Its description in RNAcentral is "bacterial SSU rRNA". It matches the Rfam family "Bacterial small subunit ribosomal RNA", at positions 497 to 795 of the family's 1533-position model. Lineage: Bacteria; Bacillati; Bacillota; Bacilli; Caryophanales; Bacillaceae. The record is from RNAcentral.
GCAAUGACGUGCGAGGGGCGGCGGUGACACGUAGGGGCCAAGGGUUGGCCGGAGUUAUUGGGCGUAAAGGGCUCGUAGGCGGGUCGGUAAGUCAGGUGUGAAACCUCCAGGCUCAACCUGGAGACGCCACCUGAUACUGCUGUGGCUAGAGUCCGGUAGGGGAGCGUGGAAUUCCUGGUGUAGCGGUGAAAUGCGCAGAUAUCAGGAGGAACACCAGCGGCGAAGGCGGCGCUCUGGGCCGGAACUGACGCUGAGGAGCGAAAGCGUGGGUAGCAAACAGGAUUAGAUACCCGUGUAGUC